This 274-nucleotide ribosomal RNA is filed under the name uncultured bacterium. RNAcentral's name for it is "partial 16S ribosomal RNA". It matches the Rfam family "Bacterial small subunit ribosomal RNA", at positions 523 to 796 of the family's 1533-position model. The record is from RNAcentral.
ACACGUAAGGGGCAAGCGUUGUUCGGAAUUAUUGGGCGUAAAGGGCGCGUAGGCGGUUUUACGAGUCUGGUGUGAAAGAUCUCAGCUUAACUGAGGGACCGCGCUGGAAACUGUAAGACUAGAAUCUAGGAGGGGAAGCUGGAAUUCCUGGUGUAGGGGUGAAAUCUGUAGAUAUCAGGAAGAACACCGGUGGCGAAGGCGAGCUUCUGGCCAUAGAUUGACGCUGAGGCGCGAAAGCGUGGGGAGCGAACAGGAUUAGAAACCCUAGUAGUCC